CUUAGCUCAGUUGGUAGAGCAGUAGACUCUUAAUCUAUUUGUCCAGGGUUCGAGUCCCUGA
Molecule: transfer RNA, 61 nt
Filed under: Candidatus Copromonas avistercoris (nom. illeg.)
Lineage: Bacteria; Bacillati; Bacillota; Clostridia; Lachnospirales; Lachnospiraceae
Also listed under: 8 other names
Rfam family: tRNA
About the family: Transfer RNA (tRNA) molecules are approximately 80 nucleotides in length. Their secondary structure includes four short double-helical elements and three loops (D, anti-codon, and T loops). Further hydrogen bonds mediate the characteristic L-shaped molecular structure. tRNAs have two regions of fundamental functional importance: the anti-codon, which is responsible for specific mRNA codon recognition, and the 3' end, to which the tRNAs corresponding amino acid is attached (by aminoacyl-tRNA synthetases). tRNAs cope with the degeneracy of the genetic code in two manners: having more than one tRNA (with a specific anti-codon) for a particular amino acid; and 'wobble' base-pairing, i.e. permitting non-standard base-pairing at the 3rd anti-codon position.
Source: RNAcentral